CAGCCGCCGCGGUAAUACGAAGGGUGCAAGCGUUAAUCGGAGUUACUGGGCGUAAAGCGUGCGUAGGCGGUUUGUUAAGUCUGCUGUGAAAUCCCCGGGCUCAACCUGGGAAUGGCAGUGGAUACUGGCAAGCUAGAGUGUGUCAGAGGAUGGUGGAAUUCCCGGUGUAGCGGUGAAAUGCGUAGAGAUCGGGAGGAACAUCAGUGGCGAAGGCGGCCAUCUGGGACAACACUGACGCUGAGGCACGAAAGCGUGGGGAGCAAACAGGAUUAGAUACCCGCGUAGUCCCUGUCUCUUAUAC
RNAcentral lists this ribosomal RNA (301 nucleotides) under uncultured bacterium. RNAcentral's name for it is "partial 16S ribosomal RNA". It matches the Rfam family "Bacterial small subunit ribosomal RNA", at positions 509 to 807 of the family's 1533-position model. The record is from RNAcentral.